RNAcentral lists this transfer RNA (73 nucleotides) under archaeon CG10_big_fil_rev_8_21_14_0_10_43_11. RNAcentral's name for it is "tRNA-Trp". It matches the Rfam family "tRNA". Rfam says of the family: Transfer RNA (tRNA) molecules are approximately 80 nucleotides in length. Their secondary structure includes four short double-helical elements and three loops (D, anti-codon, and T loops). The record is from RNAcentral.
GGGGUCGUGGCGUAACCUGGCAGCGUAGCAGGCUCCAGACCUGCUGGUCUGGGUUCAAAUCCCAGCGACCCCA